ACUCAAAUGAAUUGACGGGGACCCGCACAAGCGGUGGAGCAUGUGGUUUAAUUCGAAACAAAGCGAAAAACCUUACCAGGGUUUGACAUCCUAACUGCACGCUCCGCGAAAGCGGAGUUUCUUCGAGAGUGUUAGGACAGGUGCUGCAUGGCUGUCGUCAGCUUGUACCGUGAGGCGCACCCUUAAGUGGGUCAACAAGCGCAACCCUCAUCGUGUGUUAAAUGUUCACACGAAACUGCCCGCUAAAAGCGUGGAGGAAGGCGAGGAUGACGUCAAGUCAGCACGGCCCUUAUAUCCUGGGCUACACACAUCCUACAAUGGGUAGAAACAACGAGCUGCAACAUCGCAAGAUGAAGCUAAUCUCACAAAACUACCCUCAGUUCGGAUUGAAGGCUGCAAUUUGCCUUCAUGAAGCUGAAAUCGCUAGUAAUCGCGGAUCAGCAGGCCGCGGUGAAUACGUUCUCGGGUCUUGUACACACCGCCCGU
This 486-nucleotide ribosomal RNA is filed under the name uncultured bacterium. RNAcentral describes it as "partial 16S ribosomal RNA". It matches the Rfam family "Bacterial small subunit ribosomal RNA", at positions 899 to 1397 of the family's 1533-position model. The record is from RNAcentral.